This 934-nucleotide ribosomal RNA is filed under the name Alternaria alternata. RNAcentral's name for it is "SSU rRNA". It matches the Rfam family "Eukaryotic small subunit ribosomal RNA", at positions 137 to 1080 of the family's 1831-position model. The record is from RNAcentral. Lineage: Eukaryota; Fungi; Ascomycota; Dothideomycetes; Pleosporales; Pleosporaceae.
ACUUGUGUAACCGUGGGAAUUCUCGAGCUAAUACAUGCUGAAAAUCCCGACUUCGUAAGGGAUGUGUUUAUUAAAUAAAAAACCAAUGCCCUUCGGGGCUUUUUGGUGAUUCAUGAUAACUUUACGGAUCGCAUAGCCUUGCGCUGGCGACGGUUCAUUCAAAUUUCUGCCCUAUCAACUUUCGAUGGUAAGGUAUUGGCUUACCAUGGUUUCAACGGGUAACGGGGAAUUAGGGUUCGAUUCCGGAGAGGGAGCCUGAGAAACGGCUACCACAUCCAAGGAAGGCAGCAGGCGCGCAAAUUACCCAAUCCCGACACGGGGAGGUAGUGACAAUAAAUACUGAUACAGGGCUCUUUUGGGUCUUGUAAUUGGAAUGAGUACAAUUUAAACCUCUUAACGAGGAACAAUUGGAGGGCAAGUCUGGUGCCAGCAGCCGCGGUAAUUCCAGCUCCAAUAGCGUAUAUUAAAGUUGUUGCAGUUAAAAAGCUCGUAGUUGAAACUUGGGCCUGGCUGGCGGGUCCGCCUCACCGCGUGCACUCGUCCGGCCGGGCCUUCCUUCUGAAGAACCUCAUGCCCUUCCCUGGGCGUGUUGGGGAAUCAGGACUUUUACUUUGAAAAAAUUAGAGUGUUCAAAGCAGGCCUUUGCUCGAAUACGUUAGCAUGGAAUAAUAAAAUAGGGCGUGCGUUUCUAUUUUGUUGGUUUCUAGAGACGCCGCAAUGAUUAACAGGAACAGUCGGGGGCAUCAGUAUUCAGUUGUCAGAGGUGAAAUUUUUGGAUUUACUGAAGACUAACUACUGCGAAAGCAUUUGCCAAGGAUGUUUUCAUUAAUUAGUGAACGAAAGUUAGGGGAUCGAAGACGAUCAGAUACCGUCGUAGUCUUAACCGUAAACUAUGCCGACUAGGGAUCGGGCGAUGUUCUUUUUCUGACUCGCU